CUCUCAUAUCUAAUUCACUCAAUUUCCCCAAUUUUCCUAUUUCCUCUGGAAGUUUUUUCAAACCCUCACAUACUGAAAUGUCUAGAUAUUCCAGCCACACAAGAUUUCCAAUUGAAGAAGGAAGUUCUGUAAGGCCAGACAGCAUCUGAACGGAUUGCAUGUUGCAGAUUCCAGGAGGCAACACCUCCAGGUCACUGCAGUGAUCCAGGUUAAAAUCUUGCAGCUUGGUACUGUUCAAUGUCGAGGUGAAGGCUACGGAGGAGUAAAAUACACACCAAAAGCUUAGGAAUCAUUGGAUGAAGGAAGAUUUAGCAAUUAAAGUUACCAUGAAAUAUCCAACUUGAAAUUCCUCAAAUUGCUAGGGGAUGGAUUAGUAACAGUGAAUAGACAAGACAUUAGAUAUAGGCAUACUUGGUCAUAAAAGAGCAAAAUCAACCUCACUUUUCAAAAGGAUCUCUUGGAGUACCAUAAGAAGUACAAUGAGGUAGUUGAGAUAAACAGAGUAGCAGAAAAGAAGGAUCACCCCCAUGCUUGAAUUUAUUUCAACUGCAACAAGAAUUCAGACACUGAGGAGGUCAAAUCCAAUGAAGAUAUCUUUGUGGUCUCCUCUCCUUUGGGGUAUUGGGAGUGGAAGAAAUAUAAUGAGAGUAGAGUUGGUUAAUCGUAUUGGUCUCUGUAUGGUUUCUUAUAUUCAGUUGUUGACAUAAAAAUUAUUGAAAUUUUGUAUAUUUAGUAAUCUAGGAUCUAAUGUAGUUCUCUAGUGAACAAAGUCUAUAUGCAUCCUAUGAUAAAUUGAUCCUCAUAAAUACUCGGUGGUUUUUGUAAUGUUUUUUUAUCUAUAUUUAAUAUAUUUUUUUUAGAAACAUACAUUGAUUUACAAUGUCACAUGAUGGUUCAACACACAAAAGAAGUCUAUUAGACAUUGGGUAGAAUUUAAGAUCCCAAUUAAAGCUAAGUACCUACUGAAUUUUUUUUUUUAUAGAACAUCCCUAAAUAUGAAAAUAUAUGCUACCAAAAGACAACCUAGACACAUGUAUUCAAUGCUAGGAAGGAAGGUCUAAAUAUGACGAUAGACUUUACAUCUACUUCUUUUAUUGAACAUUGACACCACUAGUGUAAACAUGGUAAAUCAAUUAGGAAUGGAGGAGAGAAAACAAAAUAUGAGAUGAGGUAACCCCAAACUUUCUCCAUGAAUUUUCUUUUAUCAUGAAGACAUAAAGACACAUACUAUAUUGUGAAGCAUUAAGGAUAUUACCAUCUCCAACCCCCAAAACACAAAGAAUUUCCAAAUAUGUAAAAUGAUUAGAAACCCAAAUAUUUACAAGUAGACAAUGUUGCACAACCUAGAAGAAUGAUGAUGAAAGAAAGGAUUUAGAGAUCCAAAUUGAGCAAGGUGAAAGGGAUAUAUAAUAGUGUACUAGGCAUAAAAGAAAAUAUUACAACAAUCUAGUUAACUAAAUGAAACAAACAUUGCAGUAAAAGGAGACCCUAAAUUGAUCAAAAUGGGAGACUAUUGGGAUGAAACGACAAUAGAACAAGUACAAGAAAGCCUCUCAAAAUAUCAAAACUUGUUUCCCAUAAAUUUCAAAGAGAUGAAAUAGAUCAGAGUAGGCACAUUGAAAAUCCACUUGAAAGAUGUAGCCAGACCAGUCUAGAAGAGACCAUGUAGACUCAACCCCUAUAUGAAGAAGUAGGUGAAGGCAUUUAGGUGGACAAGAUGUUGAAUGCUAGAAUCAUUAAAGAUGUAUAAGAUUAAGAAUAGAUAAGCCCUAUAAUGAUUUGACAUAAGAAGACGAGAAAUAAGGGUUUGUGUGGAUUUCCAAAUGUUGAACAAAGCAUGCAUCCAUGACCCAUUCCCCACCCCAUUUACGAAGGAGAUCUUGGAGUUAAAUGUCAUGGGGGAGGUAUACUAUUUAUAGAUGAGUUUUCUGGAUGCCACUAGGUAGAUAUCAAAAAAGAGGAUCAACCUAACACAAUUUUUUCUACAAAAUGUGUGUUCUACAUGUAUAUAGUAAUUCCCUUUGGGUUGAGGAAUGCACCCAUAGUAUUCAACUAGAAGUUUUCAUGGAAAAUUGGAUAAUAUAAUGACCGCUGAAAGAUAACAUUGAAGUACUCUAGAUGAUGUUAGAUAGAUGUAAAAGAAUGGUGAUAUCACUCAAUGCAAUGAAAUCGAUAUUUUUAAUGCUAUUUGGAAAAUUAUUAGGACAAAUCAUAUGCAAAGAGGGGUUGAUGGUAGAUCCCAUAUAUCGACACCAAAAAAUGCACCUAUAAUGGGUGGGAAAUUAGGGUUUCCAACCUUACAUGUAUGAAAGCCACUAAUUUACCAUUAUAUUCAAAAGAGGAUUGAAUCCAAUAGUUUUAGUCACAAACCAGUAAUGAUAAGGACUGAAAAUACAAAUUGGAUUCAAGGAGGUCAGUUGAUUUGCCCUCUUUUGUGAGUUGAAUUGCUGAAAUUAGGGAAAAGUGUUGAAAAUGAAGGUAAAAAUAUGGAAAUAGUGAGAUAGAGUUGUCAAAUUGAGGCACGCACUCGGAUCCAAGAAAUAUAAACAGAUUCAGACCCGAUCUUCGAAAAAGCUCUAAAAAUAUCGAGAUAAGAGCCCUUGCCACUCUAAUCCUCCUAACUUUUUGCACACCAAAAGUGGUUGAUUCGUCUUUGCAAAUAAUGCCUAUUCUUGUGCCUAUUUUUGUGUCUUGUACAAUAUCCAUUAGAAUUAUUAUAUGGAAAGGUGUGCAUCUAUAAAUUUUGGAAUGCAGCCUCGUGAUUAGUUGAUUAUGGAAUUAUUAUUGUGGUUCAUAUGAAUGUCCUCAAACUCAAUAAAGAUCAUAUUGAAAAGGGAGUUAGGAGAAAGGAUCUCAAUAAUCUCAAUUUAUAUUUAUCCAUAAUUUCAAGGUGGCCUUUUUAAUCCCUACCUCAAAUUGGUUUUUAAAAAUUUAUUGAUUUGCAUGCUUGGAAAAAAGUACAUAGGCCUCCUCAUGGGAUUAAAGUAGAUUUGCGAAGAAAGGUGAAAGAUGGAAAAUUUAAUGAUGGAAAUGAUAGAUUUAUGCAGAAUUUAUUUCUCACAUUACAGUUAUAUAAUCAUCAUUUUAACAAUGCAAUACUUAAUCAAUAUCAAAGAUAACUUAGAAAGUAUCAGAUAAAGUAUUAUUUAUUCUUUUUAUUCUAGUUCAUGUUAGCAAUCUUGUGGCUACUAUUUUUGUAAAAUAGAAGGCUAGUGUUUGCAAGUUAAACCCAACACCCUUUUUUCCCUCAAGAAAAAUGUUUAGGUAUGGUAGUUUUUUGGAGGAUUUAUUUAGUUACAUUCUUCAAUAGAAUGAAAGAGAAACAUUAUGAACUUUCCUCAUAGUUUAUGGAUAGCUAGAAAGAUGGUAAGGUGCAAGUUGGGGAUGUUACAAUAUAAUUUUGAGUCAGAAGCAUUCCUAUGAGGUGUUUAUCAAACUAUUUCUAGAUAAUGGUGAAUGACUUGCGUGCGACUAGAAUGUGUAUAGUGAUUAAUAUUUACCAACACCUUGGGGAUUCAUGAGCUACCACCUAAAUAAUUCAUUCACUUUCAAAGGUAGGAUCAUCAUAGUCCAUGGAUACCACUUUCCUCUCUUAAAACACCUAAGAUGCAAUCAACCGCUUAGCAUUCAUUAUUUUUUAUAUUCUUCCCUACAAAAAUGUGCUACUAAAGGAUCCCCUGCUCCACUAGGAGCUAAUGUAUGCACCUUAUAAUUAUUGCUCGGAUAAUACCCAUCCACUCAAGCCUAUGUCCCGAAGAAGAAAAUCUUGAUGUUUUUCCAACACCCUAACCCUCCUUGCAUUAAGGAUAUCAAAAAAUGUAUUGCCUUUUGUAGAAGAUACCCUUGCCUCUUCCAACGCCAAAUUCAUGUAAAGGUCCCUUCUAUGCCAACCUAAAAAAGAAAAAACUGGCUCAAUGACAUGAAGAGCCACCUGUAAUUAUUGAUUUGGGCUCCCAAUAAACCAUCCUUGACCCCUUAAAACAUAGGAAAAGAUAUUUCCUACUCCUCUACUAUAAAGAAAACGAAAAAAUUGAAUAAAGGAAAGGUAGUGAAAAAUAUGGUGGAAAGUAGCUCUAUGGUUUGCAUUCCUCAUUCACUAGCUAUAGAUAUUUUGGACAAAGAUAAUGUUAAUUUGGAGAUUACUAUUUCUUUGAGAGAAAGGAUAUCUAUGAGGCUUACCAAAAUUUCAAUAGUGGACUAGAUUUCAAUAGCUUUUGAGAAAAUAAACCCUUAGGAAGAGAAAAAGGAGAAUUCCGACCCUUCUUCCAAAGAAGAAGAGAGUGAAGAGAUUGUGGAUGAACUAGUAGACAUAACCCCUAAUAACUCUUUAUCGCAUUCCCCUUCUUAUAAUACCCCCUUUGGUUAUGCCCUAGAAGGUAUAAAUAUCCUCAAAAACUAUAAGGCCAAGGGGGAUGAAAAACCUAAAGAUAAAGUGAUGACAAACAUAAAUACAAACUAGUAGAUUUUAUUCGCUAACAUAGAAAAUCUUAAUGCAAAAACUAAUAAUUUAUAAAACUCCAUGAAAUGUGUGGGAUGUGCGAAUAGUAGAGAUUAAAUUACUUCCCUUACAAAGACCAUGGAGUAUUGUGUGAAGACCAAUAAUGUUCGCAUUCCUACGACAAUGUUUGGUUUAGUGACGGUUAAAAUAUAUAGGAAAGAUCUAAAAAGAAAGAAAAGCAAGAUAGAGUAAUAGACUAGAGGAAAGACAAAAAGACAAUUUCUGCUAUUAGAUGGGAGGUGACACUAGAAAAUAUGGUCAAAGACUGGGACUCAAUCUUUUAGAGUCCUAUGGGAUCUAUUUGUUUGCUCUUUUUUAUUUGAUUAUUAGUUAUACUAUCUAAUGUUUCUUAAGUUGUUCUUGGACUAUGCUAGUUUCCUGUGAUACUCUCUAUAUCUGUAAUUAUUAUGUAUAGUUUCUAGUUUGGAUUGUUGGCCUAUUUUCUAGGACUCUUGUGGUUUAUUUUAUAUACUUUUCUUGGAAAUGUAUGGGUUGAGAGCCCUUAUCCCACUCACCUUGAUAAAAAAAUAGUCUACAUCAUUCUCAUAUCAUUGUCAUAUCAGAUAGCUUAAAAUUUGACUAGCUAAAUCCAUUUUAAAAGAUAACAAAUGUUGAGGUGAAUGUUAGAAACAUUUUCAUUGGUAAUUUAUAAAGCACUCUAUCACAUUCUUCUCUAUUCUUUUUUAAUUUAGAAGUUCCCAAAUUAGUAACUCCGUUUUGAUGUAAUUCCACAAGAACAAGCGACAUGUCAUUUACAAAAGACAUAUUAUCAAAGAGAUGUGGCUCCAAAGAAUAUCAAUA
Molecule: RNA transcript, 5299 nt
Organism: Cryptomeria japonica (Japanese cedar)
Lineage: Eukaryota; Viridiplantae; Streptophyta; Pinopsida; Cupressales; Cupressaceae
Exons: 4
Source: RefSeq, a predicted model, not a curated record